Molecule: ribosomal RNA, 166 nt
Filed under: Lithocarpus grandifolius
Lineage: Eukaryota; Viridiplantae; Streptophyta; Magnoliopsida; Fagales; Fagaceae
Description: 5.8S ribosomal RNA
Rfam family: 5.8S ribosomal RNA
About the family: 5.8S ribosomal RNA (5.8S rRNA) is a component of the large subunit of the eukaryotic ribosome. It is transcribed by RNA polymerase I as part of the 45S precursor that also contains 18S and 28S rRNA.
Source: RNAcentral
CUCUCGGCAACGGAUAUCUAGGCUCUCGCAUCGAUGAAGAACGUAGCGAAAUGCGAUACUUGGUGUGAAUUGCAGAAUCCCGCGAAUCAUCGAGUUUUUGAACGCAAGUUGCGCCCGAAGCCACUCGGUCGAGGGCACGUCUGCCUGGGUGUCACGCACCGUUGCC